RNAcentral lists this ribosomal RNA (839 nucleotides) under Lambertella hicoriae. Its description in RNAcentral is "LSU rRNA". It matches the Rfam family "Eukaryotic large subunit ribosomal RNA", at positions 74 to 930 of the family's 3401-position model. Lineage: Eukaryota; Fungi; Ascomycota; Leotiomycetes; Helotiales; Rutstroemiaceae. The record is from RNAcentral.
AUUGCCUCAGUAACGGCGAGUGAAGCGGCAAAAGCUCAAAUUUGAAAUCUGGCUCUUUCAGGGUCCGAGUUGUAAUUUGUAGAAGAUGUUUCGGGUGUGGUCCCAGUCUAAGUUCCCUGGAACUGGACAUCACAGAGGGUGAGAAUCCCGUAUGUGACUGGGUACCUACGUCCAUGUGAAACUCUUUCGACGAGUCGAGUUGUUUGGGAAUGCAGCUCAAAAUGGGUGGUAAAUUUCAUCUAAAGCUAAAUAUUGGCCAGAGACCGAUAGCGCACAAGUAGAGUGAUCGAAAGAUGAAAAGCACUUUGGAAAGAGAGUUAAACAGUACGUGAAAUUGUUGAAAGGGAAGGGCAUGCAAUCAGACUUGCGCCUAGUUGAUCAUCCGGGCUUUUGCCCGGUGCACUCGAUUAGGCUCAGGCCAGCAUCAGUUUAGAGGGUUGGAUAAAGGCCUUGGGAAUGUGGCCCCUCUCGGGGGGUGUUAUAGCCCAAGGUGCAAUGCAGCCACUCUGGACUGAGGACCGCGCUUCGGCUAGGAUGCUGGCGUAAUGGUUGUAUGCCGCCCGUCUUGAAACACGGACCAAGGAGUCUAACAUCUAUGCGAGUAUUUGGGUGUUAAACCCAUAUGCGUAAUGAAAGUGAACGGAGGUGAGAGCCCUUAAGGGUGCAUCAUCGACCGAUCCUGAUGUCUUCGGAUGGAUUUGAGUAAGAGCAUAGCUGUUGGGACCCGAAAGAUGGUGAACUAUGCGUGAAUAGGGUGAAGCCAGAGGAAACUCUGGUGGAGGCUCGCAGCGGUUCUGACGUGCAAAUCGAUCGUCAAAUUUGCGUAUAGGGGCGAAAGA